Molecule: non-coding RNA, 93 nt
Organism: Mycena latifolia
Lineage: Eukaryota; Fungi; Basidiomycota; Agaricomycetes; Agaricales; Mycenaceae
Source: the annotation of a GenBank genome assembly
AGCUUGAUGGUGUAAAGGUAACAUAUCUUCUAUUUGUGGCCAGACCUCGUCACAUUUCAGAAGAAGCUCUUCGUUCAAUUCGGGGUCAGGCUA